This 253-nucleotide ribosomal RNA is filed under the name uncultured bacterium. RNAcentral's name for it is "partial 16S ribosomal RNA". It matches the Rfam family "Bacterial small subunit ribosomal RNA", at positions 524 to 776 of the family's 1533-position model. The record is from RNAcentral.
UACGUACCGGACGAACGUUAUUCGGAAUUACUGGGCUUAAAGAGUGCGUAGGCGGCUCAUCAGGUGGGGUGUGAAAUCCCACGGCUCAACCGUGGAAUUGCGCUCCAAACCGAUGAGCUUGAGGAAGACAGGGGUGAGCGGAACUGAUGGUGGAGCGGUGAAAUGCGUUGAUAUCAUCAGGAACACCGGUGGCGAAGGCGGCUCACUGGGUCUUCUCUGACGCUGAGGCACGAAAGCUAGGGUAGCGAACGGG